CCUACGGGUGGCAGCAGUGAGGAAUAUUGGUCAAUGGCCGGAAGGCUGAACCAGCCAUGCCGCGUGAAGGUCAGUGCCCUAUGGGCGUUAAACUUCUUUUGUGCGGGAGCAAUAAUGGUCACGUGUGGCCAGACGAGAGUACCGUACGAAUAAGCAUCGGCUAACUCCGUGCCAGCAGCCGCGGUAAUACGGGGGAUGCAAGCGUUAUCCGGAUUUAUUGGGUUUAAAGGGUGCGUAGGCUGUGAGGUAAGUCAGCGGUGAAAUGCCCCCGCUCAACGGGGUGAAGUGCCAUUGAUACUGCCUUGCUGGAAUGCGGAUGCCGUGGGAGGAAUGUGUGGUGUAGCGGUGGAAUGCAUAGAUAUCACACAGAACACCGAUUGCGAAGGCAUCUCACGAAUCCGCGAUUGACGCUGAUGCACGAAAGCGUGGGUAUCAAACAGGAUUAGAUACCCCAGUAGUC
RNAcentral lists this ribosomal RNA (460 nucleotides) under uncultured bacterium. Its description in RNAcentral is "partial 16S ribosomal RNA". It matches the Rfam family "Bacterial small subunit ribosomal RNA", at positions 338 to 795 of the family's 1533-position model. The record is from RNAcentral.